This 76-nucleotide transfer RNA is filed under the name Marinobacter sp. RNAcentral describes it as "tRNA-Asp". It matches the Rfam family "tRNA". From Rfam's summary of the family: Transfer RNA (tRNA) molecules are approximately 80 nucleotides in length. Their secondary structure includes four short double-helical elements and three loops (D, anti-codon, and T loops). Lineage: Bacteria; Pseudomonadati; Pseudomonadota; Gammaproteobacteria; Pseudomonadales; Marinobacteraceae. RNAcentral also lists the same sequence under 1 other name. The record is from RNAcentral.
GGGCCAGUAGCAUAGCGGCCAAUGCAGCGCCCUGUCGAGGCGAAGAUCGAGGGUUCGAAUCCCUUCUGGCCCGCCA